UUGUCCUACGGGGGGCAGCAGUGGGGAAUAUUGCACAAUGGGGGAAACCCUGAUGCAGCAACGCCGCGUGAGUGAAGAAGUCAUUCGUGAUGUAAAGCUCUAUCAGCAGGGAAGAAAAUGACGGUACCUGAGUAAGAAGCCCCGGCUAACUACAUGCCAGCAGCCGCGGUAAUACGUAGGGGGCAAGCGUUAUCCGGAUUUACUGGGUGUAAAGGGAGCGUAGACGGCUGUGCAAGCCAGAUGUGAAAGCCCGGGGCUCAACCCCGGGACUGCAUUUGGAACUGCGUGGCUGGAGUGUCGGAGAG
RNAcentral lists this ribosomal RNA (305 nucleotides) under uncultured bacterium. RNAcentral describes it as "bacterial SSU rRNA". It matches the Rfam family "Bacterial small subunit ribosomal RNA", at positions 334 to 656 of the family's 1533-position model. The record is from RNAcentral.